CAUUAGAGAAUAACACGGCGGGGAAGCCGUUUCUCUCACCCUUUUGUUUAUUCCACUCUGUUGCUUUGGCGGCGCCGGCUCCGGCCGGGCAAGUCCGUCAAGGGCCCAACUCCUGAAUCGCUGCUGUCUGAGUACUAUACAAUAGUCAAAACUUUCAACAACGGAUCUCUUGGUUCUGGCAUCGAUGAAGAACGCAGCGAAAUGCGAUAAGUAAUGUGAAUUGCAGAAUUCAGUGAAUCAUCGAAUCUUUGAACGCACAUUGCGCCCUCUGGUAUUCCGGGGGGCAUGCCUGUUCGAGCGUCAUUGCAACCCUCAAGCGCUGCUUGGUGUUGGGCUCGCCCGCUGGGCCUGCCUCAAAAUCAGUGGCGGCCCCGUCUGACCCUAAGCGUAGUACUACUCGCCGCUUGUUGGAGUCGGGCGGCAGCCUGUCAGCAACCCCCACCUCUAUAGGUUG
This 454-nucleotide ribosomal RNA is filed under the name fungal endophyte. RNAcentral describes it as "eukaryotic LSU rRNA". The stretch from base 150 to 303 matches the Rfam family "5.8S ribosomal RNA". Lineage: Eukaryota; Fungi. The record is from RNAcentral.